This 460-nucleotide ribosomal RNA is filed under the name uncultured Sphingobacteriales bacterium. RNAcentral's name for it is "bacterial SSU rRNA". It matches the Rfam family "Bacterial small subunit ribosomal RNA", at positions 920 to 1381 of the family's 1533-position model. The record is from RNAcentral. Lineage: Bacteria; Pseudomonadati; Bacteroidota; Sphingobacteriia; Sphingobacteriales.
CCCGCACAAGCGGAGGAACAUGUGGUUUAAUUCGAUGAUACGCGAGGAACCUUACCUGGGCUUAAAUGGGGAGUGACAGCUGUCGAAAGAUGGUUUUCUUCGGACACUCUUCAAGGUGCUGCAUGGUUGUCGUCAGCUCAUGCCGUGAGGUGUCGGGUUAAGUCCCAUAACGAGCGCAACCCUUACCGUUAGUUACCAUCAGGUUAAGCUGGGGACUCUAGCGGGACUGCCACCGUAAGGUGAGAGGAAGGUGGGGAUGACGUCAAAUCAGCACGGCCCUUAUGUCCAGGGCUACACACGUGUUACAAUGGCCAGUACAAAGGGCAGCUACCGGGUGACCGGAUGCUAAUCUCUAAAGCUGGUCUCAGUUCGGAUCGAAGUCUGCAACCCGACUUCGUGAAGCUGGACUCGCUAGUAAUCGCGCAUCAGCCAUGGCGCGGUGAAUACGUUCCCGGGCCUC